Molecule: ribosomal RNA, 301 nt
Filed under: uncultured bacterium
Lineage: Bacteria
Description: partial 16S ribosomal RNA
Rfam family: Bacterial small subunit ribosomal RNA
Source: RNAcentral
CAGCAGCCGCGGUAACACGGAGGGUGCAAGCGUUAUCUGGAUUUAUUGGGUUUAAAGGGUCCGUAGGCGGAUCUGUAAGUCAGUGGUGAAAUCUCACAGCUUAACUGUGAAACUGCCAUUGAUACUGCAGGUCUUGAGUAAAUUUGAAGUGGCUGGAAUAAGUAGUGUAGCGGUGAAAUGCAUAGAUAUUACUUAGAACACCAAUUGCGAAGGCAGGUCACUAAGAUUUAACUGACGCUGAUGGACGAAAGCGUGGGGAGCGAACAGGAUUAGAGACCCCCGUAGUCCCUGUCUCUUAUAC